GCAUAUCAAUAAGCGGAGGAAAAGAAACCAACCGGGAUUGCCUCAGUAACGGCGAGUGAAGCGGCAAGAGCUCAAAUUUGAAAUCUGGCCCCCUCGGGGUCCGAGUUGUAAUUUGCAGAGGAUGCUUCGGGUGCGGCCCCCGUCUAAGUGCCCUGGAACGGGCCGUCAUAGAGGGUGAGAAUCCCGUCUGGGACGGGGUGUCCGUGCCCGUGUGAAGCUCCUUCGACGAGUCGAGUUGUUUGGGAAUGCAGCUCUAAAUGGGUGGUAAAUUUCAUCUAAAGCUAAAUACUGGCCGGAGACCGAUAGCGCACAAGUAGAGUGAUCGAAAGAUGAAAAGCACUUUGAAAAGAGAGUUAAAUAGCACGUGAAAUUGUUGAAAGGGAAGCGCUUGCGACCAGACUCGCCCGCGGGGUUCAGCCGGCAUUCGUGCCGGUGUACUUCCCCGUGGGCGGGCCAGCGUCGGUUUGGGCGGCCGGUCAAAGGCCCCCGGAAUGUAGUGCCCUUCGGGGCACCUUAUAGCCGGGGGUGCAAUGCGGCCAGCCUGGACCGAGGAACGCGCUUCGGCACGGACGCUGGCAUAAUGGUUGCAAACGACCCGUCUUGAAACACGGACCAAGGAGUCUAACAUCUACGCGAGUGUUCGGGUGUCAAACCCGUGCGCGCAGUGAAAGCGAACGGAGGUGGGAGCCCCCUGAGGGGCGCACCAUCGACCGAUCCUGAUGUCUUCGGAUGGAUUUGAGUAAGAGCGUAAAUGUGGGGACCCGAAAGAUGGUGAACUAUGCCUGAAUAGGGCGAAGCCAGAGGAAACUCUGGUGGAGGCUCGCAGCGGUUCUGACGUGCAAAUCGAUCGUCAAAUUUGGGUAUAGGGGCGAAAGACUAAUCGAACCAUCUGGUAGCUGGUUCCUGCCGAA
RNAcentral lists this ribosomal RNA (911 nucleotides) under Aspergillus insulicola. Its description in RNAcentral is "LSU rRNA". It matches the Rfam family "Eukaryotic large subunit ribosomal RNA", at positions 38 to 965 of the family's 3401-position model. Lineage: Eukaryota; Fungi; Ascomycota; Eurotiomycetes; Eurotiales; Aspergillaceae. The record is from RNAcentral.